Molecule: ribosomal RNA, 348 nt
Filed under: Nitops craigheadi
Lineage: Eukaryota; Metazoa; Arthropoda; Insecta; Coleoptera; Nitidulidae
Description: SSU rRNA
Rfam family: Eukaryotic small subunit ribosomal RNA
Source: RNAcentral
GCGGUUAAAAAGCUCGUAGUCGAAUCUGUGUCCCGCGCCGCCGGUUCAUCGUCCGCGGUGUUAACUGGCGUGCCGCGGGACGUCCUGCCGGUGGGCUUAGCUCUUCGGGGCGGCCCAACUCAAUCCCGCCGCGGUGCUCUUCAUUGAGUGUCGAGGUGGGCCGGCACGUUUACUUUGAACAAAUUAGAGUGCUUAAAGCAGGCUAAAACUUCGCCUGAAUACUGUGUGCAUGGAAUAAUGGAAUAGGACCUCGGUUCUAUUUUGUUGGUUUUCGGAACCCCGAGGUAAUGAUUAAUAGGAACGGAUGGGGGCAUUCGUAUUGCGACGUUAGAGGUGAAAUUGUUGGAC